GAUGAACGCUGGCGGCGUGCCUAAUACAUGCAAGUCGAGCGAACAGACGAGGAGCUUGCUCCUCUGACGUUAGCGGCGGACGGGUGAGUAACACGUGGAUAACCUACCUAUAAGACUGGGAUAACUUCGGGAAACCGGAGCUAAUACCGGAUAAUAUAUUGAACCGCAUGGUUCAAUAGUGAAAGACGGCUUUGCUGUCACUUAUAGAUGGAUCCGCGCCGCAUUAGCUAGUUGGUAAGGUAACGGCCUACCAAGGCAACGAUGCGUAGCCGACCUGAGAGGGGGAUCGGCCACACUGGAACUGAGACACGGUCCAGACUCCUACGGGAGGCAGCAGUAGGGAAUCUUCCGCAAUGGGCGAAAGCCUGACGGAGCAACGCCGCGUGAGUGAUGAAGGUCUUCGGAUCGUAAAACUCUGUUAUUAGGGAAGAACAAAUGUGUAAGUAACUAUGCACGUCUUGACGGUACCUAAUCAGAAAGCCACGGCUAACUACGUG
RNAcentral lists this ribosomal RNA (497 nucleotides) under uncultured bacterium. Its description in RNAcentral is "partial 16S ribosomal RNA". It matches the Rfam family "Bacterial small subunit ribosomal RNA", at positions 28 to 507 of the family's 1533-position model. The record is from RNAcentral.